GGGGAUUUAGCUCAGCGGCAUAAGCGCCUGCCUUGGAAGCAGGUGGUCGUGAGUUCGAUCCCCA
Molecule: transfer RNA, 64 nt
Filed under: Cavia porcellus (domestic guinea pig)
Lineage: Eukaryota; Metazoa; Chordata; Mammalia; Rodentia; Caviidae
Rfam family: tRNA
About the family: Transfer RNA (tRNA) molecules are approximately 80 nucleotides in length. Their secondary structure includes four short double-helical elements and three loops (D, anti-codon, and T loops).
Source: Rfam by way of RNAcentral